AGUCGAACGGCAGCACGGGAGCAAUCCUGGUGGCGAGUGGCGAACGGGUGAGUAAUGUAUCGGAACGUACCUUUCAGUGGGGGAUAACGUAGCGAAAGUUACGCUAAUACCGCAUAUUCUGUGAGCAGGAAAGCAGGGGAUCGCAAGACCUUGCGCUGAUUGAGCGGCCGAUAUCAGAUUAGCUAGUUGGUGGGGUAAAAGCCCACCAAGGCGACGAUCUGUAGCUGGUCUGAGAGGACGACCAGCCACACUGGAACUGAGACACGGUCCAGACUCCUACGGGAGGCAGCAGUGGGGAAUUUUGGACAAUGGGCGCAAGCCUGAUCCAGCAAUGCCGCGUGCAGGAUGAAGGCCUUCGGGUUGUAAACUGCUUUUGUACGGAGCGAAACGGUCUUCUCUAAUAAAGGGGGCUAAUGACGG
RNAcentral lists this ribosomal RNA (420 nucleotides) under uncultured bacterium. RNAcentral describes it as "bacterial SSU rRNA". It matches the Rfam family "Bacterial small subunit ribosomal RNA", at positions 60 to 475 of the family's 1533-position model. The record is from RNAcentral.